RNAcentral lists this ribosomal RNA (1518 nucleotides) under metagenome. RNAcentral's name for it is "bacterial LSU rRNA". It matches the Rfam family "Bacterial large subunit ribosomal RNA", at positions 1414 to 2925 of the family's 2925-position model. The record is from RNAcentral.
GGGCAUAGGUACAUCUCCAUGGAAGGAUUUUUGUAUCCUAGGUGCGGGGUGACGGAAUGGGAGGAUCGGAUCGUACGUAUCGACUGUACGUGGAAGCGGCAAGACGUUGAUCCCUGUAGGCAAAUCCGCAGGGAGAGUCGAGUCGUGAUCCCAAAUGCCCCUCCGUAUGGUGGGGUGAGUCCGUCCCCUUCUGUUUCCAAGAAAACCCUCGCAUCGAGAGCUAUGUGAAACCGUACCGCAAACCAACACUGGUGGGGUGGUCGAGUAGACUAAGGUGCUCGGGAUAACUCGCGUCAAGGAACUCGGCAAAAAAGCGUCCGUAACUUCGGAAUAAGGACUGCCCUGAAGCGAGCAUGCUCUGCUUCGGGGCUGCAACUAAAGAGGCCAGGCGACUGUUUACCAAAAACACAGGUCCCUGCAAAAGCGGCUAAGCUGAUGUAUAGGGACUGAUGCCUGCCCAGUGCCAGAAGGUCACGGAAGGGGGUUCACGCUCCCGACCUAAGCCCUGGUGAACGGCGGCCGUAACGAUAACGGUCCUAAGGUAGCGAAAUUCCUUGUCGGGUAAGUUCCGACCCGCACGAAUGGUAUAACGGUCUGGUCACUGUCUCGACGCGAGUCCCGGUGAAAUUGCAAACACGGUAAAAAUGCCGUGCAAAUAACGGAAAGGCGAAAAGACCCUAUGCAGCUUUACUAUACGUUGGCAUUGAGUCUCUGGAUUGCUUGCGCAGGAUAGGUGGGAGGCUUUGAAACCGUGGCUUCGGCUGCGGUGGAGCCGACCUUGAGAUACCACCCUUGCGUUCCGGUGAUUCUCACUGCGAGCCUGAAACAGGCCGUAGGACAGUGCUUACUGGGUAGUUUAACUGGGGCGGUUUCCUCCUAAAAAGUAACGGAGGAGCGCAAUGGUUGACUUACGCCGGAUGGAAAUCGGCGUGAAAGUGUAUUCGCACAAGUCAGCCUGACUGUGAGGCCUACAAGCCGAGCAGGGCGGAAACGCGGUGAAAGUGAUCCGGCAACCUGAAUCAUUCACUUGAUUCUUACCACGUGGGUGGGUUGUCGCUCAUCGGAUAAAAGUUACGCUAGGGAUAACAGGCUUAUCGCGCCCAAGCGCCCACAGUGACGGCGCGGUUUGGCACCUCGAUGUCGGCUCAUCACAUCCUGGGGGUGAAGAAGCUCCCAAGGGUUUGGCUGUUCGCCAAUUAAAGUGGUACGCGAGCUGGGUUCAGAACGUCGUGAGACAGUUUGGCCUCUACCUUCCGUUAUCGUUUGGAACAUUGAGGGAAGCCGCUCCUAGUACGAGAGGACCGGAGUGGACGAACCUCUGGUGUACCUGUUGUCCUGUCAGGGGCAUCGCAGGGUAGCUAUGUUCGGAAGGGAUAACCGCUGAAAGCAUCUAAGUGGGAAGCCCAUCCCAAGAUUAGCGUUCCCCAUAAGCCCGCUUGAAGAACACGAGCGAGAUCGGCUCCAGGUGUACGCACCGCAAGGUGUUUAGCCUUCGAGUACGAACGGGCGAUUGCUUUA